UACGGAGGGUGCGAGCGUUGUCCGGAUUUAUUGGGUUUAAAGGGUGCGUAGGUGGCUGCUUAAGUCAGUGGUGAAAUACAGCCGCUCAACGGUUGAGGUGCCAUUGAUACUGAACAGCUUGAAAUAAUUGGAGGCUGCCGGAAUGGAUGGUGUAGCGGUGAAAUGCGUAGAUAUCAAGAGGAACACCUGAGGUGAAGACGGGUUGCUGGGCCGACACUGACGCUGAGUGCGCGAAAGCCAGGGGAGCAAACGGG
RNAcentral lists this ribosomal RNA (254 nucleotides) under uncultured bacterium. RNAcentral's name for it is "partial 16S ribosomal RNA". It matches the Rfam family "Bacterial small subunit ribosomal RNA", at positions 524 to 776 of the family's 1533-position model. The record is from RNAcentral.